This 99-nucleotide non-coding RNA is filed under the name Weissella confusa. Its description in RNAcentral is "Guanine sequence". It matches the Rfam family "Purine riboswitch aptamer". From Rfam's summary of the family: Riboswitches are metabolite binding domains within certain messenger RNAs that serve as precision sensors for their corresponding targets. Allosteric rearrangement of mRNA structure is mediated by ligand binding, and this results in modulation of gene expression. A class of riboswitches that selectively recognises guanine and becomes saturated at concentrations as low as 5 nM. Lineage: Bacteria; Bacillati; Bacillota; Bacilli; Lactobacillales; Lactobacillaceae. The record is from RNAcentral.
AAAGACAUUUUUGUCCUUGCAGAUUUAAUUGCUGGAAAAUGGCCAGCGAGUUUCUACCGCCUACCUAAAGUGGCGACAAUCCGCAAAUGACUCACAAGA